RNAcentral lists this long non-coding RNA (707 nucleotides) under Drosophila guanche. The record is from RNAcentral. Lineage: Eukaryota; Metazoa; Arthropoda; Insecta; Diptera; Drosophilidae.
UUUUAGACAGAAGUUAACACACAAAAUUUAAUUGUUGUAGUAGUGUGCGUCUCGUCCAGGAAAUGUCGCCCGAUGCCAUGGUCUUUCUGGCAUUCAGCAUGCACUGCUUCAGGAUGAUCUUCGUCUACUGCAUCUGUGUGAAUAUGCUGGAGCUUUUGCUGCUGAGGAGGCGCAACAGCCAAUGACAAGCCAAGCCAACAAAAUAAAGAACAAUACUUUCAUUCCCUUCCUUAUUUUUUCUAUUCCUUGUCUUUGGCUGUACUAUUCUCCAAGUCUUUCUUUUAUCCAAAAAUCCCCAAAAUCAAGAUGGCAAACUUAUUUGCAUUGAAGCUGAAAAUCGAUGCGAUUUACGCAAAUUGCAUAACAUUUUGAAUAGGUUUUUCAUCACGGCAUAAAUUACGAGUACAUCGAGCGAGAAGCACGAAACGGAAACGGGGCAAACGGCAAAUGGGAAAUGGGAAAUGGGAAAUGGCAAAUGGAAAACGGAAAUUUAAAUUACCUGCAACGUAAUUACACAAAAGAAUAUGCCAAUAAAAAUGACUUAUGUAUCAAUUUCCUUUACGACACAGAAUCCCAGACAGCAGGAGGAGGAGCAGGAGAAGGAGGGGCAUAAGUACUGGAGGCUGAUACUCCUCCUACUCCUGAUGACGAUGAUGAUGAUGUGGAUGAUGAUAAUAAUAAAAGGCAACGUAGCACAAAGCGAACAA